This is an RNA transcript of Manduca sexta (tobacco hornworm), 1081 nucleotides long. RefSeq lists it as uncharacterized. The transcript has 2 exons. The record is from RefSeq and is a predicted model, not a curated record. NCBI's taxonomy places the organism in Eukaryota, Metazoa, Arthropoda, Insecta, Lepidoptera, Sphingidae.
UUCAGCUGUUUAAUAUUUAUGUUAGGAACAUAUAAAAUGUAUCGCUUGAAGAUAACCUUUCAAAACGUAAUGUGGCGAGUAGGAGUGUGUUUAGUUGUACUGGCUUCACUGGCUGAGGCUCAACAACCGAGCCCAGAACAUGGGAUCCUGUUGCACAGGCUGAAACGUCACCAUCAUCACUACUGCGACUCUGAUUAUGGUCCGCCACCUCCGCCACCACCGCCGCCAUUCUGGCCACCUCCACCACCGCCUUAUUGGGGACGCCGGCGACACUUCUGGCCACCACCACCGCCGCCACUACCCCCAAUUCCUCCACCACCAAGAUAUGAAGACUACGAAAAACCGUGCGACACUUGCGGGGAGGGACACAGCGGGGCAGUGAGUAAUGCUCAGAGCAAUACAGGAGAGGCGAUUGCUGUGGCCAUCGCGAAGGCAAGAAAAGAUUAAAGGCCAAUUUCAGUCACAACAGUGAAAGUUAUUUUACUUAUAAAUUAUGAUGUUUGUGCCUUAUGGCUUUUACUUUAGCUACGUUUAUGCCGUGGCAUCUCUGAGGGCUUUUCUUUUAUAUUUGGAGUUCAGCAUGAAUUGUUAUAGAGAUUAGUGUGUAGAUUUUGAUAUUUUAAUAUUCGUUUUAAUACAAGAGUCUAACUGGAUUCACGCAGAUCCUGUCAAUUUGUUGCGGAAAAACACUAUAUUGCUAUAAAGUUUCUGAUUACUAAAGCAACUGUCAGUUACAUAAUACUGCAGUGUGAAUGGCUCUUUAUUUAGCAUUAUUGAGUUUGUAUUUAUAUAACUUAAACAGUUUUAAAAAGCUUAUCUUAUCUCAAACGUCGUUUAAUUAAGCCAAUAAUGUGCGAUUAAAAUGAAUUUAUUUCAUAUACAGUUUCUUAAAUUUAUUGCUUAGAUUUACGUUAUUUUUAAGUUUUUUUUUUAUUUUAAUAGUUACCUGAGUAGUAUACUUUUAUUAGUUCUUUAUAAGUGAGUGAAGAUUUUAAAUAGAUUUAUGCCAAAAUAUUAUUUAAGUUUUUAAAUUGUUUCGGGCAUGUAUUUUCAUAUUAAUAAAAUAUUGAUUAAUGAUGUU